GUAAACAUCAUUUUAGCGUUUCUCCUAAGUGUUGAAUUGUAAUUUCAUUUUUGUUGUGUCUGCAGAACACUGCACUGCUGGCUAGACGACUGCUCAAUGGCGAGUUAGAGCCUGCAAAGAUUUUGAACAAUAUCCUCCUUCUCUGUGCAAAUAAAUCUAGGGAUCCUAAUAAUCACAUUUUGAUUCUGUUCUUGCAUCUAGCUGGAGUGUGUUGACUGUGGCUAUUCCUGGUAUGCUUCAAGGGAUGAGGCAUCCUAAUAAUCACAUUUUGAUUCUGUUCUUGCAUCUAGCUGGAGUCUGUUGACUGUGGCUAUUCCUGGUAUGCUUCAAGGGAUGAGGCAUCAACUCUGACAAUAAGCACAGAAAACCUGCCCAAGGCACAGAGAAGGAGGAUAUUGAGAAGAAUUUGACCAGAUCUGGUGAAACCGAGAAACCUCAAGACGAAGCCUUGAAGACCAAUGACUCAAAUGCCUCCAAGAAUGGGCGAAGACAUGGGGAGUCUCCUAACUCGGGUACUCAUCUGGUUCAACGGAUCGAUAAACAAGUAAGGAACAGAAUCUCAGUAAUCAACGCAAGUGGAGACUGCCGGUAUGACAAGGCCCUCCAAUAUUGGUUUCAAUCUAGAAUGGGAACUAACUAGCAAAUAGAUAAAAUCUCUUUUUAAACUCUUUCGGCAAAAGUCGCACUUGAUGUACAAACGCUAUUUUUCUUUUGAGUUUAAUUUAACAUUACAUUCAAAAAAAAAAAACAAAUGCCUCCAAGAAACUAGAGUAAAG
Molecule: small RNA, 776 nt
Filed under: Arabidopsis thaliana (thale cress)
Lineage: Eukaryota; Viridiplantae; Streptophyta; Magnoliopsida; Brassicales; Brassicaceae
Description: putative long intergenic non-coding RNA
Source: RNAcentral